GCCCUCGUAGUAUAACUUGGAUAGUACGCGGCCCUCCGAAGGCUGCAGUCGGGGUUCAAAUCCCCGCGGGGGCG
Molecule: transfer RNA, 74 nt
Filed under: Candidatus Woesearchaeota archaeon
Lineage: Archaea; Nanobdellati; Candidatus Woesearchaeota
Description: tRNA-Arg
Rfam family: tRNA
About the family: Transfer RNA (tRNA) molecules are approximately 80 nucleotides in length. Their secondary structure includes four short double-helical elements and three loops (D, anti-codon, and T loops). Further hydrogen bonds mediate the characteristic L-shaped molecular structure. tRNAs have two regions of fundamental functional importance: the anti-codon, which is responsible for specific mRNA codon recognition, and the 3' end, to which the tRNAs corresponding amino acid is attached (by aminoacyl-tRNA synthetases). tRNAs cope with the degeneracy of the genetic code in two manners: having more than one tRNA (with a specific anti-codon) for a particular amino acid; and 'wobble' base-pairing, i.e. permitting non-standard base-pairing at the 3rd anti-codon position.
Source: RNAcentral